Molecule: long non-coding RNA, 1237 nt
Organism: Syngnathoides biaculeatus (alligator pipefish)
Lineage: Eukaryota; Metazoa; Chordata; Actinopteri; Syngnathiformes; Syngnathidae
Exons: 3
Source: RefSeq, a predicted model, not a curated record
GGUUUCCCAUUUCAUCAAAUUGUCUUUGACUUGGCCCAACGUUUCCCGACGUUUUUUAUGAAAUAUUUACGGGCCAUUUGCUGCUCUGACGCUGCGCUUGGAAACCGGAAUGCGUCGGAUGGGUGUUUCGCCGCCGCCUCUCUUUGAGGCCAUCUGCCGAGCGCGGCCGUCGGGGCGGGGGCGGGGGUGCGGGGGGGUUACCGACACCCCCCCCCCCCCCGGACGACGCCCCUGGGACGGGGUUCCGCUCGAGCCGCCGGAUCGUCGGACGGGACGCGAGAGAGAAAGGCGGCGCCGGCAGAUCUUCACGGCGCCGGCAUCGAGGCAGCCCGGGCUAGCGCACCGCUAACUGAUUAGCGAUCAGACAGCUGGUGAGUCGGCACGGACGUAUUGGACUUGCUCAGCUGGGCUAGGCGAAGAUCCAGAGUCGCUUUCAGUUCUCAACGGUCUGAAAAAUCCCCCAACCGGCAGAGCUGCGUUGCGGGCACAGUUGGGUGCUCGCUUCUGACAAGAGGCGCAAGUUUGCCGUUGCGUCCGCGAGUCCCGUGAGUGAAAAGGCUUUCCAUCGUCUGGAUAAACGCCGUCGCUGAGAUCCGGCGGGAUGGAGAAACGCUCAGGCUCCGCCCCUGUUGUCUCGGAUACCAUCGGCCCAGCUGUGUUUCCCGGUCCAAACAAAGGUUCCGCCAUCUGGUCUGGGCUAAAAUUCCUGCGCUUUAUCGAGAGGACGCUUCAGUCGGCUGUCUUGCACGUCUUGCGCUCGUUUUGUUCCCCAAAUGGACGUCAAACUCCAAGUUGAGCGUUUUUGCGUGUACCCAGUCCGAAAGGUCGUUUCAACAGGAAGUAAUCAGCAAGGUGGUCGCGCGCCAAGCUACACGCGCGGCGGGACGUCGAUUGGGAGCGCGCGAUUGUCGCCGCUGAGAACCUUCAAGUCGGGCCAGGCGCCGGACGGCCGCUUUGUUUGCUCAGCUCCUCCCGGCCGGGUCGUAAAAAUCGAGCCGAUAACCCGACGGGCCUCGCCUUCUUUCUUCUUCUUUAAUGUCUCCCGCGGGCCGCCAUCGCGCGCUGGCCUUUCUUUUCCACAAAUGCGUCACUUCCUCCGCAACGCGGACGUCGACGCCGAGGCCCGAGAAUGUGCGGAGGUCGUUUCGACUCCGCCCUUGGCGUCAGAACGGCUCAGCGAGUCCCGUUUCCUUCGGAAUCGUUUUGAGUCGCAUUUCGACGACGGCCGGCUCGUGGG